RNAcentral lists this long non-coding RNA (617 nucleotides) under Vigna radiata. RNAcentral's name for it is "long non-coding RNA (VRAD_LNC004079)". Lineage: Eukaryota; Viridiplantae; Streptophyta; Magnoliopsida; Fabales; Fabaceae. The record is from RNAcentral.
UUUCUUUUGGUUAUGUGAUUUAUUUGCUGGAGGGAGGAGGUGCGCCUUGCGUUGGUUUCGAAUUUGGAUGUCGUUCUCGAAGUUGGUUUUGGUCGUGGGUGUCGUCAUUCUCGAAGUUGGUUACCACCGAUGUUCGCGUCCAUUUGUCAUCGUGCGUUGGCCGUGGGUGUCGCAGUUUGUGUUGUGGUAAAGGUUUUGGGACCAUUGUUUAGAGCUUUCUUGGAACAAUCGCAGUGGUUGCAUCAUUCGUUGGUUGUCGAUUGUAGUGUUGGUGGUUUAUGUCUUCUGGUUUAGGAAAUUAGGUCUUUUUUGUCAGUGUUUUUGUAAUUUGUUCUUUGGUGGAUGUGUAUUUUAGGGAUUGUUGUUGGUCGUAAAGUUUUGAAUUUUUGACACACUUUUUUUUUGUACAAUGUUUCUUUUUACAGCAACGGAUUCCAUUCUACAAGAAGGUGAAAACAAUGUAUGUAUAGGUGUUUGUGCAUGAAAAGAUGAGUUGUUUAUGCAUUAAGUUGACAAUGAAUAUUUUUUUUCAAAUUUAAAAUUGAUGUAAUGAACUGUGUUAACCUCCCUAUGCAGAAGUAUAGCUAGGUCCCUAGUUAUUUCAUCCUCGGUCCCCA